UAGGGAAUCUUCGGCAAUGGACGAAAGUCUGACCGAGCAACGCCGCGUGAGUGAAGAAGGUUUUCGGAUCGUAAAACUCUGUUGUUAGAGAAGAACAAGGACGUUAGUAACUGAACGUCCCCUGACGGUAUCUAACCAGAAAGCCACGGCUAACUACGUGCCAGCAGCCGCGGUAAUACGUAGGUGGCAAGCGUUGUCCGGAUUUAUUGGGCGUAAAGCGAGCGCAGGCGGUUUCUUAAGUCUGAUGUGAAAGCCCCCGGCUCAACCGGGGAGGGUCAUUGGAAACUGGGAGACUUGAGUGCAGAAGAGGAGAGUGGAAUUCCAUGUGUAGCGGUGAAAUGCGUAGAUAUAUGGAGGCACACCAGUGGGGAAGGCGGCUCUCUGGUCUGUAACUGACGCUGAAGCUCGAUAGCGUGGGGAUCAAACAGG
Molecule: ribosomal RNA, 429 nt
Filed under: Chloroflexota bacterium
Lineage: Bacteria; Bacillati; Chloroflexota
Description: Chloroflexi bacterium partial 16S ribosomal RNA
Rfam family: Bacterial small subunit ribosomal RNA
Source: RNAcentral